GGGGGGUGUCACACGUCGAGUUAGCUGCAAGCAGGUCCUGGAGCCUAAUGCUUGAUCGCCAGCCAGGAGUUACAGCCCCUGUGCCGCGCUGCGCCCUCCACUUGCCCGCGUUAAUUGGACAAGAUUCUCGACGGCUGGAGUGCCGCGCGUUCCUCUGCUUCCCCCAAUGGCGCCUGGCGCCCUAAGAGCAUGCAUACCUCCCCUUCAAUGCUGGAAGUGUGCCCUUUAUUGAGGUCCCCAGAACAGCUGAGCUGUGGCUGAAGAGCUCAGAUGAAGCUUCACUAAAGGCCCAGGGAUGACAAAGACAAAAAGGCCCAGCCAAUCUGACUCAUGAGAUGUGCUUGCAGUCUGGACACAUGGGCCCCUCCAAGGUGGCAAAGGCCAUCCUAUACUCCUCCCCCAGCCCCUUCUGAAGACAUCCACAACCCAGAAUAUCCAAAUCCCCAGACACCUGGAGAGGAGAGAGUCACCUUUGUCCUAGAAUUCUCUGGUUUUCAUUUUGGAAAUCCUGCUAGCAUCUACUGCUGAAGGCUGUGGCUGGAGAACUCAUGCUGCCGUGAACAUACUGGUCCCAUGCUACCCACUGACCUGUGGAGAGAAAGGCAUCCUAUGGACUGUCAUCCAACAGUCUGGGUACAGAUGAUGGACUGUGUCAGUUUCUUUGUGUUUCCAGAUCCAGGCCUUAAAAGACUAGCAUCUGCCAUGUCCUCUUUUGAGAUACUUGCUCUUGGAACCCAGCUGCCAUGCUGUGAGGAAGCCCAAGCCACCCUGUGGAGAGGCACAUGUGGAGAGAAGCAGCAUCCAACACCAACUUGAAAGCAUGUGAGUGAGUCAUCCUGGAAGUGGAUCCUCCAAUCCAAGCUGAUGCUGCGUGGGGCAGAGACAAGCUGUCCUUGCUGAGCUUUGCCCAUUUUGCAGAUUUGUGAGCAAACUACAUGAUUACUCUUGUUUUAAGUUAGUAACUUUUGCAGUAGUUUGUUUGCAGUGAUGAUAACUGAUGCAUCCCCUGUCCCCCAAAGUGGGGGCCCCAGGCUUACAAGGCAGGAAGUGGGCCAGCUCUUUAUCCCUGAGUGAGGACCUAGGUUAGCACUCAUUCCUUCAACAAGUAUUUAUUGAGUGGCCACCAAGUGCUAGACACUAUACCAGGGGCUGAGGAGUUAGCAGUGAAUGAGAUAGACCCAGCCUGCCUGGUGGUCACAACUCUGGCACACUAAUGAGAGGGCUGUAGCCUCAGUGUGAGGAAGGGGGAGGGAGAACGCCUAGGGGAGAUUAUUUCUAAGCUGAGACCUGACUCCGGAAAAGGAGUUAGCCAUGCAAAAAAGCAGGGAAAGGGCAGAUGGAACACCAUGUGCUAGUUCUGGGGAAGACUGCCAGAUUUGGCAAAUAAAAAAUAAAAAUUUAACACCUGGGGCCGGCCCCGUGGCCAAGUGAUUAAGUUCACGCGUUCUGCUGCGGCGGCCCAGAGUUUC
Equus quagga is the source of this 1469-nucleotide long non-coding RNA. RefSeq lists it as uncharacterized. The record is from RefSeq and is a predicted model, not a curated record. The transcript is spliced from 5 exons. Lineage: Eukaryota; Metazoa; Chordata; Mammalia; Perissodactyla; Equidae.